This 348-nucleotide ribosomal RNA is filed under the name Roseovarius sp. HI0049. Its description in RNAcentral is "bacterial LSU rRNA". It matches the Rfam family "Bacterial large subunit ribosomal RNA", at positions 624 to 970 of the family's 2925-position model. The record is from RNAcentral. Lineage: Bacteria; Pseudomonadati; Pseudomonadota; Alphaproteobacteria; Rhodobacterales; Roseobacteraceae.
AUCGACUUGGUCUAUCCAGCAAGCUUAAGCCGUUAGGUGUAGGCGCAGCGAAAGCGAGUCUUAAUAGGGCGAUGAGUUGGAUGGAUCAGACCCGAAACCGAGUGAUCUAGGCAUGGCCAGGUUGAAGGUAAGGUAACACUUACUGGAGGACCGAACCCACUUCUGUUGAAAAAGAACGGGAUGAGCUGUGCCUAGGGGUGAAAGGCCAAUCAAACUCGGAGAUAGCUGGUUCUCUGCGAAAUCUAUUUAGGUAGAGCGUCAUCCGAAUACCCUCGGGGGUAGAGCACUGGAUGGGUAAUGGGGCCCCACAGGCUUACUGAUCCUAACCAAACUCCGAAUACCGAGGAG